This 1246-nucleotide long non-coding RNA is filed under the name Toxoplasma gondii VEG. The record is from RNAcentral. Lineage: Eukaryota; Apicomplexa; Conoidasida; Eucoccidiorida; Sarcocystidae.
UCCCCAGCUGCGUCCUCAGUCCGCACACGCGGUGCGGACAUGUGUAAGCUGUCUACAUUAUGACAAGUGGUAUGUUUCGAGCGGCUGUUUCUUCCGCCGCUCUCAGUCUGUGUCAGAGGAUGCCUUGUGCUUCGCCUGAAGGCACGAGUUAAAGCUCCGCAGGUCUCUGCCGAAUUGCUCCGAGCUGUACACACACUCCAACCUCCUGGGUUUCCGCCGCUGGUGAUGACGACCGAGCCAGAAAAUUCAGCGUUUCUCGGUGACACGAAAGGAAGCGGCGACUGUCGAUUCGUCCAGGCAGCCCAUCUCUUGGGGGAUCCACCGGGUACUUCUGUCGUGGCUGAUGGCGGUGUCGUUAUCUGCCCAGAAGCGAGCAGAGCUCGUGGAGUAGGUCGGACGCUGAGAGGCUCAGACGGGGAUGAAGAGAUCCUGGAAGCUGGCAAGUGAUUCGGUGAUGCCGGUCCGUGCACUCCAGUUGAAGGCACCCGGACGAGAUUGCGGCCCGUCAAACGGGUCGUGGUCUCACCAUUGGUCCGCGGCAAUCGAGACGAAAUUGCCGCGGAGGAACCGAGAGGAAUUUUGCUUGCUUCUGAACACUUGUAAACUCUCGUGACACCGACUGGCGAGGAAGACGAAGGCAGAGAUUUGGUUUCAUCUCCUGGCCUGUGCAAAUUACUCUUUUGCUGAGAGAGUUGUCGAGUGUGUUGUCUCGUGGACGGGUCACUCGAACCGCCAACUGGUGAGCUGAGGCGUGAAACACCAGUUCUUGCUUCCGCAUGCACACCCACAACUGAAAAGGGACUAGCAGGAAAAGUGGCAGAAUCACUGCGGUUGGUAUCAGAUUCGUUUCUUGCUUCACUUGCGAUUCGGGCCACAACACGACGAUAAAUUGGGCGAUCCCGUGCUGAUCGCUGGGUCUGAGUAACGUGAGAAAGUGAACAUGUUUUACAGGCUGCAGCUUGCGCUACACGUGACAGCACUGUCAAAUCGAGGGGCUGAACUGGAGGCUGAUGUUUGUCGUGGCCGGAACCUUUUGGACUAGAGGAGGAGAAGGAUCUCGACAAGAAAGCGGGAGAGCUACUGACAGUUCGGGGGCGAUGGCAUUCCAUAGUCAAGCAAAGGUAUAUUGAGAGGGUGGUCUACACAUAGCGCCUGACGCUGACGUACCAACUGCCCGUCCUGAUCUUUAUGAGUAUCGAAAGCGGUUUGAGCACCAAACAUCGGGCCGGUCAAAACGUAUAGCCCU